RNAcentral lists this ribosomal RNA (425 nucleotides) under uncultured bacterium. RNAcentral's name for it is "bacterial SSU rRNA". It matches the Rfam family "Bacterial small subunit ribosomal RNA", at positions 917 to 1344 of the family's 1533-position model. The record is from RNAcentral.
GGACCCGCACAAGCGGUGGAGUAUGUGGUUUAAUUCGAAGCAACGCGCAGAACCUUACCUACCCUUAACAUCCCGGGACAACCUCAGAGAUGAGGCUUUCUCUUCGGAGACUCGGUGAUAGGUGCUGCAUGGCUGUCGUCAGCUCGUGUCGUAAGAUGUUCGGUUAAGUCCGAUAACGAGCGCAACCCCUAUCCUUAGUUACCAGCAUUAAGUUGGGGACUCUAGGGAGACUGCCGGUGUUAAACCGGAGGAAGGCGGGGAUGACGUCAAGUCCUCAUGGCCCUUACGGGUAGGGCUACACACGUACUACAAUGGCAGUGACAGAGGGACGCUACCAGGUGACUGGAUGCAAAUCUCAAAAAGCUGUCUCAGUUCGGAUUGUUGUCUGCAACUCGACAACAUGAAGUCGGAAUCGCUAGUAAUCG